This 37-nucleotide ribosomal RNA is filed under the name Gammarus komareki. Its description in RNAcentral is "partial 12S ribosomal RNA". Lineage: Eukaryota; Metazoa; Arthropoda; Malacostraca; Amphipoda; Gammaridae. The record is from RNAcentral.
UCGAAACAAAGUAGAAAUACUGGAAAGUAUUUCUAAG